CCCAGGUCAUAUGGUAAUCUUGUUUUCACUGUGUUUGGGGAUGUAACAUGACAGACAUCACCACGUAUUCCUCCAAGGGCAUUUUUCACGCAAGCACACCUGGUCACCCAUUCAUACCAACAGGAAACCAAGAAGAGAUGGAAUUGAUUAAUUAAAACAAAGUUAUUCAGGUCUCAAAUAGAAAUUUGGGCUGCUGAAGACUGAGA
Molecule: long non-coding RNA, 206 nt
Filed under: Serinus canaria (Common canary)
Lineage: Eukaryota; Metazoa; Chordata; Aves; Passeriformes; Fringillidae
Description: lncRNA (ENSSCAG00000005455.1)
Source: RNAcentral